This 440-nucleotide ribosomal RNA is filed under the name uncultured bacterium. RNAcentral describes it as "partial 16S ribosomal RNA". It matches the Rfam family "Bacterial small subunit ribosomal RNA", at positions 338 to 795 of the family's 1533-position model. The record is from RNAcentral.
CCUACGGGAGGCAGCAGUAGGGAAUAUUUCUCAAUGGGGGAAACCCUGAAGCAGCAACGCCGCGUGGAGGAUGAAGGUUUUCGGAUUGUAAACUCCUUUUGUUAGAGAAGAUAAUGACGGUAUCUAACGAAUAAGCACCGGCUAACUCCGUGCCAGCAGCCGCGGUAAUACGGAGGGUGCAAGCGUUACUCUGAAUCACUGGGCGUAAAGAGCGCGUAGGCGGGAUAGCAAGUCAGAUGUGAAAGCCUAUGGCUUAACCAUAGAACUGCAUUUGAAACUGUUAUUCUAGAGUAUGGGAGAGGUAGGUGGAAUUCUUGGUGUAGGGGUAAAAUGCGUAGAGAUCAAGAGGAAUACUCAUUGCGAAGGCGACCUGCUAGAACAUAACUGACGCUGAUGCGCGAAAGCGUGGGGAGCAAAAAGGAUUAGAUACCCCAGUAGUC